This 687-nucleotide long non-coding RNA is filed under the name Linum usitatissimum (flax). RNAcentral describes it as "long non-coding RNA (LUSI_LNC006582)". Lineage: Eukaryota; Viridiplantae; Streptophyta; Magnoliopsida; Malpighiales; Linaceae. The record is from RNAcentral.
AUAAGAUCAUAUUGUAACCCCUUUUCAUAAGCUCAAGCUCAAAAUACGACUUACUUUAGCAAUGAUAAGACCAUUACAUCUACGUCUCAGCUAUGGAAGUUCCGCUCGGGUAAGGCUACCGGUUGCAAAGGAAUGAAAAAGCUAAAUAGAAGAUGAAAGUGUCCCCAAGGUUGCUGGUACCAAAUCCUACUCUUUUUCAGGCAGAAGCAGGUGGCAUGCAUGUGGAAGCAAGGAAAGGUGUAGCAGCAAAAAGAAGAGAUUCUCAAACCUUAGCGCCUAGCGCCAUUCCCACGGGUUUAACGACUAGUUUAAUUUCUGCAACAUGUUUCGAAAAGAACUCAACUUUUUUGGUUUUGGAAAAUGUUUAAGAGUCCAUCCAUUCUCCGAAAAGCUAAAGCUACCGGUUGCAGCUGUUACAGCUGUAGUGGCUGGUGUAGCCAGCUUGUGAUGACAUAGGUUUUCGGGGGUAGCGGCUGGUUACAUUUAUUUGGAAGAGAGUUCCAUUACUGCAGGUUUAAAAGAAACUUUUGAAGAGGUUAGAAAUAGCAAAUCUGCAAGAAAGGAGAGAUCAAGACAAGAAAAAUAUUAUCCGUAGAAAAACAAAUUCCAAGAAUCUCCUCUAAUAUGGAUCGGUCGAGCUACUUCUCUUAGGUUUAAAUUCAACCAAUAGGGUUCAGAGAGAGCUCC